AGAGUUUGAUCAUGGCUCAGGAUGAACGCUAGCUACAGGCUUAACACAUGCAAGUCGAGGGGCAGCAUGUUGGUUGCUUGCAACCAACGAUGGCGACCGGCGCACGGGUGAGUAACGCGUAUCCAACCCACCCUUGUCCAUCGGAUAACCCGUCGAAAGGCGGCCUAACACGAUAUGCGGUUCACAGCAGGCAUCUAACGUGAACGAAAUGUAAAGGAGAAGGAUGGGGAUGCGUCUGAUUAGCUUGUUGGCGGGGUAACGGCCACCAAGGCGACGAUCAGUAGGGGUUCUGAGAGGAAGGUCCCCCACAUUGGAACUGAGACACGGUCCAAAACUCCUACGGGAGGCA
RNAcentral lists this ribosomal RNA (349 nucleotides) under uncultured bacterium. Its description in RNAcentral is "bacterial SSU rRNA". It matches the Rfam family "Bacterial small subunit ribosomal RNA", at positions 8 to 350 of the family's 1533-position model. The record is from RNAcentral.